AAAACAAUUUUUGAAGAACAGUUUCUGUACUUCAUUGGUAUGUAGAGACUUCCAGAACCUAGUUCUGAAAUUUUGGACCGAGCUUUCGGGC
This 91-nucleotide unclassified non-coding RNA is filed under the name Wallacemonas collosoma. The record is from RNAcentral. Lineage: Eukaryota; Euglenozoa; Kinetoplastea; Trypanosomatida; Trypanosomatidae.